AAUGCCCUUAAAGGCCUUGCAGGUGUGGCUGCUGUGUCACAUGUGUGUCAGUAGGUGGCAGAGAGGAGAGAGGCUAUGUCUAUGCUCAGUGUUCUGAUCAGGAACAUCUGAAUGAUUAGUAUAACACU
Molecule: small nucleolar RNA, 128 nt
Organism: Arvicanthis niloticus (Nile rat)
Lineage: Eukaryota; Metazoa; Chordata; Mammalia; Rodentia; Muridae
Product: small nucleolar RNA SNORA17
Source: RefSeq, a predicted model, not a curated record